GACGAACGCUGGCGGCGUGCUUAACACAUGCAAGUCGAACGAAGAGCGAUGGAGGCUUGCUUCUAUCAAUCUUAGUGGCGAACGGGUGAGUAACGCGCAAUCAACCUGCCCUUCAGGGGGGGACAACAGUUGGAAACGACUGCUAAUACCCCAUACGAUCCGACCUCGGCAUCGAGGAUGGCUGAAAGGUGGCCUCUAUUUAUAAGCUAUCACUCAAAGUGGGGAUUGGGUCUGAUUAGCUAGUUGGAGGGGUACCGGCCCACCAAGGCAAUGAACAGUAGCCGGGCGGAGAGGAUGGACGGCCACAAUUGGACUGAGACACGGGCCAAGCUUCUUAGGGAGGCAGCAGUGGGGGAUCAUCCGAAAAGGAGGAAAGUCUGGCGGCAGAACGCCGGGGUGGUGAUAAAGGCCGUCGGGUUGGAAAGCUCGGUUUGUCGGGACGAAAGGUCUGCUUGCGAAUAGUUAGAAGAAUUGACGGUACCGGAAUAGAAAGCCACGGCUAACUACGUG
RNAcentral lists this ribosomal RNA (510 nucleotides) under uncultured bacterium. RNAcentral describes it as "partial 16S ribosomal RNA". It matches the Rfam family "Bacterial small subunit ribosomal RNA", at positions 28 to 507 of the family's 1533-position model. The record is from RNAcentral.